RNAcentral lists this long non-coding RNA (769 nucleotides) under Sarcophilus harrisii (Tasmanian devil). RNAcentral's name for it is "lncRNA (ENSSHAG00000028006.1)". The record is from RNAcentral. Lineage: Eukaryota; Metazoa; Chordata; Mammalia; Dasyuromorphia; Dasyuridae.
AUCCUUAUACAUUCCAUAUUUAUGAUCUAAUUAUUUCUUUUACAGAGCCAAGGAGAGAAGGUGAAGAAGGGAAGGGAUGAGAUGUGUGGAAAAGGAUCGAUGAAAAGCAAUUAGGUGACUGGGGCCUGCUCCCUUGGGAGCCUGGAAGCUGGCUGUAUUUGGGAUCUGAUUUUAGCUGAGCAUCUCAUGAAUUCCUCAAAGCGUGGGAGGACUCGUGUCAAAAUCUGAGCUGUGUGGGAAUUGUGAUUUCAUCGAGUAUCCUGGCAACAUCACCCGCCCCCGGAGCAGGAGCUAAGAGAGACUGUAAAAAAAGCACAUGCAUGUAUGUAACCCCUUUCUCCAGACAGAUUCCCAGGGUCCCCUCAGCGGGAGUCACCCAGGGAAGGCUUCUUCCUGCAUCACAGCUCACCAGCACAGACGGGCCCUGCUGCUUCAGCAGAUUCCCCCUGCGAAGGGGUUACCCUUCCCAGCAUUCCUCUGCAGACAGACUCCAGGGUGGGGGCUCCUCUCUCUUACUGCACCAAAUCCUGGGAGACAGAGGAGGAAGUUGACCAAAGGAAUUCUCUGAUCAUCUUGAUGAAUUUGCUGGGUAAAGAGUCUUUGGGGCUUCUGAAAGCAUCUCUUAAAAGAAAAGGCAUCUUUUUGAAAAAGAAAAUGCAGAAAAUAGAUGGCUAGAAAGAAGGACAGAGAAGCAGGAUAGCUUCGAAAGCUAUCAGUUGCAUUUACUGCACACAUAAAAAGAAAAGUGAAUUGUACAUUAUAGAGGUAU